Molecule: long non-coding RNA, 510 nt
Organism: Pipra filicauda (Wire-tailed manakin)
Lineage: Eukaryota; Metazoa; Chordata; Aves; Passeriformes; Pipridae
Exons: 2
Source: RefSeq, a predicted model, not a curated record
AAGUCUUCGAAUGCCAUGGUGUUAAAAACAGUUGCCUCAGUUAAGGAACGUGGCUUUUACUGUGCUGACAUAUGGCACGAUAAUUUUAAGCUGAGACAGAAACUAUCGGGGAUAGGAGCCGGACUUCAUAUGCCUCACUUCUGAAUCACUUGUCUUCAGGCUGGAAUUCUGCUGGAGUAUUUCAGCUUCCCUGUAGAAGAAUCCUUACUCGAAAGGACAACAAGAGUUUGCAAGCCCCUGCAGUGAGAAUGUAGGGCCCAAGCACCUUCGACUGCAUUGCUGUUGGUUGGAUGGCUGCAAAGAAUUCAGUUGUUCAUCGAAGCACAGGAAGUCACUGGCUGAUGUAAAACCAGUCUGGAUAAACUGCUUUAUUCGAAGAAUUGAUGUAAAUCAAAUGCUUGUUGCAACUCUGAGGAGUACUUUUAAAUAUGGCUGGCCCACAUAACUUGCAGUCUCUAGCUCUUCUUAAGUAGACACUGUAAAGAGUAGGAAUUAAAACGUUAAGAAUAA